RNAcentral lists this ribosomal RNA (254 nucleotides) under uncultured bacterium. Its description in RNAcentral is "partial 16S ribosomal RNA". It matches the Rfam family "Bacterial small subunit ribosomal RNA", at positions 1247 to 1500 of the family's 1533-position model. The record is from RNAcentral.
AAGCGAAAGAGUGAUCUGGAGCGAAACCCAAAAAAUAAGUCUCAGUUCGGAUUGAAGGCUGAAAUUCGCCUUCAUGAAGCUGGAAUUGCUAGUAAUGGCAGGUCAGCAUACUGCCGUGAAUACGUUCCCGGGCCUUGUACACACCGCCCGUCACACCAUGAGAGUUGGGAAUACCCGAAGCCUGUGAGCUAACUUUUAAGGGGCAGCAGUCGAAGGUAGAAUCAAUGAUUGGGGUGAAGUCGUAACAAGGUACC